AGGAUGAACGCUGGCGGCGUGCUUAACACAUGCAAGUCGAACGAUGAUGCCCACUUGUGGGUGGAUUAGUGGCGAACGGGUGAGUAACACGUGAGUAACCUGCCCUUGACUCUGGGAUAAGCCUGGGAAACCGGGUCUAAUACUGGAUACGACCUUCCCGCGCAUGCGGUGUUGGUGGAAAGCUUUAUUGUGGUUUGGAUGGACUCG
RNAcentral lists this ribosomal RNA (207 nucleotides) under uncultured soil bacterium. Its description in RNAcentral is "partial 16S ribosomal RNA". It matches the Rfam family "Bacterial small subunit ribosomal RNA", at positions 26 to 233 of the family's 1533-position model. The record is from RNAcentral.